This 75-nucleotide transfer RNA is filed under the name Cordylochernes scorpioides. RNAcentral's name for it is "tRNA-Thr". The record is from RNAcentral. Lineage: Eukaryota; Metazoa; Arthropoda; Arachnida; Pseudoscorpiones; Chernetidae.
UGUCAAGGGAUGGGAAUCGAACCCACGACCUUCCGCUUACUGGGCAGAUGCCAUGACCACUAGGCUACCUUGGAC